CCCCUCUCAGGGUCGCACCUGGAGAGUUUCCAGUACUCUACCAAUCUCAACUAAGGGAGGGAGAGUUAAACAGAGGCCUAUCCAUUCCAUUCCUAGCUUGGACAGUGGCUAGCAAGUGGAAGGCAAUCUGCUACAAGU
Molecule: non-coding RNA, 138 nt
Organism: Ornithorhynchus anatinus (platypus)
Lineage: Eukaryota; Metazoa; Chordata; Mammalia; Monotremata; Ornithorhynchidae
Source: Rfam